CUAUGCGCCUUGCCAGCCCGCUCAGGUGUGCCAGCAGCCGCGGUAAUACGUAGGUGGCAAGCGUUAUCCGGAAUUAUUGGGCGUAAAGAGCGCGCAGGUGGUUAAUUAAGUCUGAUGUGAAAGCCCACGGCUUAACCGUGGAGGGUCAUUGGAAACUGGUUGACUUGAGUGCAGAAGAGGGAAGUGGAAUUCCAUGUGUAGCGGUGAAAUGCGUAGAGAUAUGGAGGAACACCAGUGGCGAAGGCGGCUUCCUGGACGAUGACUGACGCUGAGGCUCGAAAGCGUGGGGAGCAAACAGG
This 299-nucleotide ribosomal RNA is filed under the name uncultured bacterium. RNAcentral's name for it is "partial 16S ribosomal RNA". It matches the Rfam family "Bacterial small subunit ribosomal RNA", at positions 475 to 776 of the family's 1533-position model. The record is from RNAcentral.